Molecule: ribosomal RNA, 675 nt
Filed under: uncultured eukaryote
Lineage: Eukaryota
Description: SSU rRNA
Rfam family: Eukaryotic small subunit ribosomal RNA
Source: RNAcentral
CUCAUAGCGUAUAUUUAAGUUGUUGCAGUUAAAAAGCUCGUAGUUGGAUUUCGGGCCCAGGCGGCCGGUCCGCCGUUUCGGUGUGCACUGGUCGGCUCGGUCUUUCUGCCGGGGACGCGCUCCGUCUUGACUGCCGGACGCGGAGUCGGCGACGUUACUUUGAAAAAAUUAGAGUGUUCAAAGCAGGCUUACGCUCUGAAUACUAUAGCAUGGAAUAACACGAUAGGACUCCGAGCCUAUUUUGUUGGUCUUCGGGACCGGAGUAAUGAUUAAGAGGGACAGUUGGGGGCAUUCGUAUUACGGUGUCAGAGGUGAAAUUCUUGGAUUUCCGUAAGACGAACUUCUGCGAAAGCAUUUGCCAAGGAUGUUUUCAUUAAUCAAGAACGAAAGUUGGGGGCUCGAAGAUGAUCAGAUACCGUCGUAGUCUCAACCAUAAACGAUGCCGACUAGGGAUUGGAGGAUGUUAAUUCGAUGACUUCUCCAGCACCUUAAGAGAAAUCAAAGUUUUUGGGUUCCGGGGGGAGUAUGGUCGCAAGGCUGAAACUUAAAGGAAUUGACGGAAGGGCACCACCAGGCGUGGAGCCUGCGGCUUAAUUUGACUCAACACGGGGAAACUUACCAGGUCCAGACAUAGUAAGGAUUGACAGAUUGAGAGCUCUUUCUUGAUUCUAUGGG